UAAGGAAUAUUGGUCAAUGGACGCAAGUCUGAACCAGCCAUGCCGCGUGAAGGAUGAAGGUCCUCUGGAUUGUAAACUUCUUUUAUCUGGGACGAAAACGGGAUUUUUAUCUCAAUUGACGGUACCAGAGGAAUAAGCACCGGCUAACUCCGUGCCAGCAGCCGCGGUAAUACGGAGGGUGAGAGCGUUAUCCGGAUUUACUGGGUUUAAAGGGUGCGUAGGUGGGCUUAUAAGUCAGUGGUGAAAUCUCCGAGCUUAACUUGGAAACUGCCGUUGAUACUAUAGGUCUUGAAUUAUCUGGAGGUAAGCGGAAUAUGUCAUGUAGCGGUGAAAUGCUUAGAUAUGACAUAGAACACCAAUUGCGAAGGCAGCUUACUACAUAUAAAUUGACGCUGAGGCACGAAAGCGUGGGGAUCAAACA
This 421-nucleotide ribosomal RNA is filed under the name uncultured bacterium. RNAcentral describes it as "bacterial SSU rRNA". It matches the Rfam family "Bacterial small subunit ribosomal RNA", at positions 355 to 774 of the family's 1533-position model. The record is from RNAcentral.